RNAcentral lists this microRNA precursor (103 nucleotides) under Marmota monax (woodchuck). Lineage: Eukaryota; Metazoa; Chordata; Mammalia; Rodentia; Sciuridae. The record is from RNAcentral.
AGUGGCAUAGCUGGUUCAUAUGGUGGUUCUAUUUCUAGUUUUUUGAGGCAUCUCCAAACUCUUUACCAGAGUGGUUAUCCUAUUCUGCAGUCCCACCAGCAAU